RNA transcript from Prunus dulcis (almond), 913 nucleotides. It is a transcript of the gene named protein NUCLEAR FUSION DEFECTIVE 6, chloroplastic/mitochondrial, with no coding region annotated. The record is from RefSeq and is a predicted model, not a curated record. NCBI's taxonomy places the organism in Eukaryota, Viridiplantae, Streptophyta, Magnoliopsida, Rosales, Rosaceae. The transcript is spliced from 5 exons.
AAACCCUAAACCCUUUUGAAAACCAUUACUCAGAUCAGAUCUCAUCUGCUCGUUCAAUCAUUCCUCCACCCUCAAACCCCUGUAAUGGCUUCAGCCUGCAGGCAGUUCGCCAACAGAGCAUCCCUAUCGUCCGUCCGAUCCGCCAUCAGAUCCAACGCCCCAAAAUCUCCCACCUCACGCUUCCCUCUCCCGACAUCCACUCCCUCUACUCCUCUUCGCCGUUCCUCACUCUCAAGGCCUCCGGGUGCACUGGGAUGCGUGCAAUCUCUACUGCCACUCCACAGCGCGGUGGCGGCGGCGAGAAUGACGUCGUCUCUGAGCAUCACAUCGAGGAGUUGCCGUGCGCUCUCACAGGGUACUCUCUGCCGCACCUCUCCCGGCCUCUAAUAAAAAAAAUUUGCUUUCUUUUCUAACUGCACAUAACAUUAUGCUUGAAAGAAAUAAACUGGACCUGGUAGUUAAGGCCUGCUGCGUCAUUAUCAAAUGGAAUUGAUGGUACGUGACACAUGUAUGCUGUAUAUGGAGAGCUUGGUCUGUCAGUUCCAAGGUGAUUCGUAGCAGGUUGUGUCACCAAUACAAGAAGUUAGCUUCACAAGAAUGGAAAAGCAAAGAUAUUGUAUUUUUAUUUAUUCAAACCCUUUCACAGAACUGAAGCUAAAUUCGAUUCUUCCUACAAGACAGGAUGUUAGCGGCUGUUAAAUAAUAAUUCAGUUGGCAUGUUCAAUACUAAAUUUUUAUGCAUCUCUGAUUUGGAAUACAAGUCCAUGUCUUUCCACGACAUCCUGGCCGCCUAAUGGCGAGCAUACCAUGCUUGAUGCGAUUACUUGUAUGUUUAAAUCGAAACCCAUGUAAUCUUAAGGUCAGCAUUCUUCAUAUUGUUGGACAAGUUGUAAUAAAUUUGGUUUCAUGUUUU